RNAcentral lists this transfer RNA (68 nucleotides) under Neotoma lepida (desert woodrat). It matches the Rfam family "tRNA". From Rfam's summary of the family: Transfer RNA (tRNA) molecules are approximately 80 nucleotides in length. Their secondary structure includes four short double-helical elements and three loops (D, anti-codon, and T loops). The record is from Rfam by way of RNAcentral. Lineage: Eukaryota; Metazoa; Chordata; Mammalia; Rodentia; Cricetidae.
GCUUAUGUAGCUUAUUAAUUAAAGCAAAGCANUGAAAAUGCUUCGAUGGAUAUACAUAUCCAUAAACA